Molecule: ribosomal RNA, 112 nt
Filed under: Chitinophagaceae bacterium
Lineage: Bacteria; Pseudomonadati; Bacteroidota; Chitinophagia; Chitinophagales; Chitinophagaceae
Description: partial 16S ribosomal RNA
Rfam family: Bacterial small subunit ribosomal RNA
Source: RNAcentral
CCUGAAGUGCGUAACCGCAAGGAGCGUCCUAGGGUAAAGUCGGUAACUGGGGCUAAGUCGUAACAAGGUAGCCGUACCGGAAGGUGUGGCUGGAAUACCUCCUUUCUGGAGC